CCUACGGGUGGCAGCAGUGGGGAAUAUUGCACAAUGGGGGAAACCCUGAUGCAGCAACGCCGCGUGAGUGAGGAAGUAUUUCGGUAUGUAAAGCUCUAUCAGCAGGGACUAGAAAAGAAGGUACCUGAAAAAGAAGCCCCGGCUAACUACGUGCCAGCAGCCGCGGUAAUACGAAGGGGGCAAGCGUUAUCCGGAUGUACUGGGUGUAAAGGGAGCGUAGACGGAAAGGCAAGUCAGAAGUGAAAACCAAAGGCGCAACCAUUGGACUGAUUUUGAAAAUGUCAAACUAGAGUACGGGAAAGGGAAGAGGAAUUCCUGGGGUAGCGGUGAAAUGCGUAGAUAUUAGGAGGAACACCAGUGGCGAAGGCGUCGUACUGGACCGAAACUGACGUUGAGGCUCGAAAGCGUGGGGAGCAAACAGGAUUAGAUACCCCGGUAGUC
This 441-nucleotide ribosomal RNA is filed under the name uncultured bacterium. RNAcentral describes it as "partial 16S ribosomal RNA". It matches the Rfam family "Bacterial small subunit ribosomal RNA", at positions 338 to 795 of the family's 1533-position model. The record is from RNAcentral.